This is a long non-coding RNA of Daktulosphaira vitifoliae (grape phylloxera), 1070 nucleotides long. RefSeq lists it as uncharacterized. The record is from RefSeq and is a predicted model, not a curated record. Lineage: Eukaryota; Metazoa; Arthropoda; Insecta; Hemiptera; Phylloxeridae. The transcript has 5 exons.
CAACACUUGUUCUCUGCUCUACUUUCUUAUCAACUGCCCAACACUAUGAACCAUACAUCAUAGUAUGGCCUCACAAUUUCAUACUAAAUUUAAAAUCUAUAAUUAGUGUUUAUUCUUAUAUUAUAUUUUAAAAUCAAAGAACUACUAAUCAAGAUAUAAUUAAAGAAAUAAGAGUUGAUGUUUCUUUUGGAAUAAUCCACCAAUUUCUCUAAAUGAAACACGAUCUACAGAUUUGCAUCGAAGCGUUUCUUAUGAUAGUGAUUUUAAUCACUGUCAGAUAUCAUCUAUAAUUGUUCCAUCAAUGCCUCGUCACCACUGUGACGCGACCACUCUGUGCUGGGUUUUUUUUUUAUUCAGUUGCUAUACUGGAUUAUUAACAUUGAUUGGUAGGGGAGAGCCGUGAAUACUUGGUAAAAUGAGGUUGAUAUCAAUUUUCCUCAGCGAUGAAAACCAUCUUGUGCCAGGUGGUUCCAAAUGUAAAACGACAUUUUACAAAUAAAUUAAUUGGAAUCGACAAUAUGUCGUUAUUGUUUUUAAUCUAUGCUUACCCAAAAAAACAACAAACGAAUUACGUUUAUCACAUCAGUUAUCAGUCACUGUAUAAAAGUAUUAUACGAUUAUAAUUUUUCAUCUUAUAAUUAAUAAACAUUUAAAAGAAUUAACAUGUUACCGAUUAAAACAGCUAUUAUCUACGUGUACCUAUAAUCUUAAAAAUAGAUAUAUUCUUUAUUCAAAUUUACUAAAUUAAAAGUUUGCCUCACCACUUCUGAGACCACAAGCCGCCACUGCUGUCCACUCUGAGACCAAAACAAAAUAUACGUAACUGUAUAUUUAACUUUUAUUAUAUCAUAAUGAUAAUUCACUUAAAUUUUUUAUUUGAUUACACUAAUAAUAGUUAAUAUUAUUAUUCAUUACAGAUCGACUACUUUGGGAUAUUUUAAUUGACGGAAAAGCUGUAGAAGCAUUUGAUGAUUAUCUCAAUAAUAAUACGUACGAUACGAUAGUACAUUAUUUUUUAAGAGAAGAAUACAAUCAAUUAACGAGGAAUGAUAGUGAUGAUCAAGUAAUAA